This 549-nucleotide long non-coding RNA is filed under the name Brassica napus (rape). RNAcentral describes it as "long non-coding RNA (BNAP_LNC014008)". The record is from RNAcentral. Lineage: Eukaryota; Viridiplantae; Streptophyta; Magnoliopsida; Brassicales; Brassicaceae.
GGGUGGACGGUCUAGAUGUGGAACAAGCUAUUUAAUGGCGGAGUUAAGAGUGUUUAGGGGCUACCAUUUUGAUAUGACUCAAAUUACCCUAAGGAGUGAAUUACUCUCUCAAAUAAGAGGUUCGGAUGUAAUACUUAGGGAUCGAAUCCACAGAGACUCUAGGAUUACACAAUAGAUUUAUAGUAUUCGAAUUAAGGCUAGAUUAAAUGAUUUAUAGGUUUUAAAGCACUAAAUUAAUUGGUGAGCAAAAUAAUUGCUCAAUUGAUUUGAUUUGAGGUUGUUAACAGUUGGGAGAAUAGCUAGAUUUAAGUAUGUUCUCAGGUAUGAUAAGUAAUACUUAAGUUGGGUCUUUAGGAGUUUUAUUGAUAUUAAUUGUUCUUGAAUUCAAACUAAGAUAUAAUCAUUCUGAUUAUCUAAUCUGGAUCUCAGAUUUCAACUAUCGUAUGUUAAUCGCGAGAAAGUGUCGAUCGAUCGAUACACCUUUCAAAAUAUCGAUCGACAGAGCUGUCGCUGCGUCGAUCGAUGCUUCUUCCAGAAAGCUUUACGGAC